UGAAGUCGGAAUCGCUAGUAAUCGUGGAUCAGAAUGCCACGGUGAAUACGUUCCCGGGCCUUGUACACACCGCCCGUCACACCAUGGGAGUGGGCUGCAAAAGAAGUAGGUAGUUUAACCUUCGGGAGGACGCUUACCACUUUGUGGUUCAUGACUGGGGUGAAGUCGUAACAAGGUAGCGCUAGGGGAACCUGGCGCUGGAUCACCUCCUUAUACGA
This 218-nucleotide ribosomal RNA is filed under the name Vibrio sp. LB10LO1. Its description in RNAcentral is "partial 16S ribosomal RNA". It matches the Rfam family "Bacterial small subunit ribosomal RNA", at positions 1321 to 1533 of the family's 1533-position model. Lineage: Bacteria; Pseudomonadati; Pseudomonadota; Gammaproteobacteria; Vibrionales; Vibrionaceae. The record is from RNAcentral.